GAAUACGUCCCGGCUACACGCGACUACAAUGGUUGGUACAAUGGGUAUCUACCCCGAAAGGGGACGGGAAUCUCCUAAAACCAAUCUUAGUUCGGAUUGAGGGCUGCAACUCGCCCUCAUGAAGCUGGAAUCCGUAGUAAUCGCGUUUCAACAGAACGCGGUGAAUACGUCCCUGCUCCUU
RNAcentral lists this ribosomal RNA (181 nucleotides) under uncultured Methanosaeta sp. Its description in RNAcentral is "partial 16S ribosomal RNA". It matches the Rfam family "Archaeal small subunit ribosomal RNA", at positions 1158 to 1338 of the family's 1478-position model. Lineage: Archaea; Methanobacteriati; Methanobacteriota; Methanomicrobia; Methanotrichales; Methanotrichaceae. The record is from RNAcentral.